AAUAUUGGACAAUGGGGGGAACCCUGAUCCAGCCAUGCCGCGUGUGUGAAGAAGGUCUUCGGAUUGUAAAGCACUUUAAGUUGGGAGGAAGAGUUGUAGGCUAAUACCUUGCAAUUUUGACGUUACCAACAGAAUAAGCACCGGCUAACUUCGUGCCAGCAGCCGCGGUAAUACGAAGGGUGCAAGCGUUAAUCGGAAUUACUGGGCGUAAAGCGUGUGUAGGCGGUUCGGAAAGAAAGAUGUGAAAUCCCAGGGCUCAACCUGGGAAUUGCAUCCAAAACUGUCUGACUAGAGUAUGGCAGAGGGUGGUGGAAUUUCCUGUGUAGCGGUGAAAUGCGUAGAUAUAGGAAGGAACACCAGUGGCGAAGGCGACCACCUGGGCUAAUACUGACACUGAGGUGCGAAAGCGUGGGGAGCAAACAGG
RNAcentral lists this ribosomal RNA (424 nucleotides) under uncultured bacterium. RNAcentral describes it as "partial 16S ribosomal RNA". It matches the Rfam family "Bacterial small subunit ribosomal RNA", at positions 360 to 776 of the family's 1533-position model. The record is from RNAcentral.